This is a long non-coding RNA of Apodemus sylvaticus (European woodmouse), 1618 nucleotides long. RefSeq lists it as uncharacterized. Lineage: Eukaryota; Metazoa; Chordata; Mammalia; Rodentia; Muridae. The transcript is spliced from 5 exons. The record is from RefSeq and is a predicted model, not a curated record.
UGUGCUAUACGUUCACCCUUGAAAAUGGAGAAGUUCCACAGCCGUGACUGGCCACCCUGUCUCAGGAACUCAUGCUGUUUCCUCCAGGGCUGCAUCCCUGCUGAGGAAGGAGCAGACUUGUGUUUACAGGCUUUGUACAAACACGUGACAGAAGUCAUGUGGUCUGCUCAUGUGACUAUCCAGCCCCUCUCUGGGACCCUUGCCUGGCAGGAGGUGGGGGCGUUGUGGAUUUGACUGAAGACUUGUAUUAGGUUAAUUGGGUUCCCGAAGCUGCAUGAGAAUCCUGCAGGCUGUGACAGACAGAACAAGAGCACCACCAUACAAGGCUUCUCCAUCUUGGACUUCCCAGACUCCAGAGCUAGAAACUGAGGUGAAUAGAAAUAUCACAUUCAAGGUCACACGUCUCAGAAGAGGCGGAUUUCCUUCCACGUCUGACUCAGAAGUGGGAUCCUGUGCCCUUUGGCCCCCAUGCAACAGCAGCUGAUCGGUCGGAAGUGACCCUUCACUACCCAGCUCAGAGUCCUACCCAUUCCCAGGAUGAGUUCUGCAGCAAGGUGCUGGUGCCAAGGGCAGACAUUACACUCCUUGCAGACAGGUUUCUCUCAGAGGUGGUCCUGGGGUACAGGUGCCAUGGUCUGCUCUUGAACUUGAAGGCUUCAUGACCCAGCCUCCCAUGAUGGGAUUGCAGAAGCUACCAGAAGAUGACAGAGCCAGUGCUAACCUCUGAAUAAUGCGUAGGGAAGAGAUUGUUUCCCAACCCUAUCUUGAGAUAAUUUGUGAAUAAGAGAAAAUAAGGGCUGGGCUGCCAUGCUUGUGGAUUGGCAGGAUUAAUAUAGUUAAAAUGGCCAUCUUGCCAAAAGCAAUCUACAGAUUCAAUGCAAUCCCCAUCAAAAUCCCAACUCAGUUCUUCACAGAGUUAGAAAAAGCAAUUCUCAAAUUCAUCUGGAAUAACAAGAAACCCAGGAUAGCUAAAACUAUUCUCAACAACAAAAGAAAUUCUGGGGGAAUCAGUAUCCCUGACUUCAAGUAAUACUACAGAGCAAUAGUCUUAAAAACUGCAUGGUAUUGGCACAGUGACAGACAAGUGGACCAAUGGCAUAGAAUUGAAGAUCCAGAAAUGAAUCCACACACCUAUGGUCAUUUGAUCUUCAACAAAGGAGCCAAAAACAUCCAGUGGAAAAAAGAUAGCCUUUUCAACAAAUGGUGCUGAAUCAAUUGGAGGUCAGCAUGCAGAAGAAUGUGCAUUGAUCCAUUCUUAUCUCCAUGUACUAAACUUCACUCCAAGUGGAUCAAGGACCUCCAUGUAAAACCAGACACACUGAAACUAAUAGAAAAGAAACUGGGGAAGACCCUUGAGGACAUGGGCACAGGGGAAAAGUUCCUGAACAGAUCACCAAUAGCUUAUGCUUUAAGAUCAAGAAUUGACAAAUGGGACCUCAUAAAAUUACAAAGUUUCUGUAAGGCAAAGGACACUGUUAAAAGGAAAUGGCUCAAUGGUUGAGCACUGACUGCUCUGCCAGAGGUCCUGAGUUCAAUUCCCAGCAACCACAUGGUGUCUCACAAACAUCUGUAAUGGGAUCUGAUGCAUUCUUCUAGUGUGUGUCUGAAGACAGCUACA